Molecule: long non-coding RNA, 916 nt
Organism: Hylaeus volcanicus
Lineage: Eukaryota; Metazoa; Arthropoda; Insecta; Hymenoptera; Colletidae
Exons: 2
Source: RefSeq, a predicted model, not a curated record
CGGGCAGUUCAAAAGUAGAUAAUAAAAGGAAACGGUUGGAGUGCUGAUACACCAACGGAGAUAUUGCGAGGAGGAAGAGCGCUUCGCGGCUCUUACGACAUCGAGGUAGAGGAACGUGACGGGACUGUUUAUCAGAUGAAGUAAAAUUUGAAGAACGUCGGCGAUCAAACCGCGUAGAUCCAGUUCUUCUCUUGGCACUCCUUGUCGAGGAGGAAUAGUUGUCAUAAAUGUUGCAAGAUAAAUGGGUAAGGAGGAAUCUAGCGAGGCUGCGAUGGUAAAUUAUAUUCCAAAAAGGUGGAAAAAGCGUGACUGAAUCCAAGCGUCGCCGUGCGUAGUAUAAUUCUUGUCGAAUAAUGUAUUUUGUCAUAGCAAUUCAAAAAACAGUAAAAUUUAAAAAUUCAUUCUAACGAAUUCCAGUAAAAUUCCCUCGUGGAAAAGUUGCGAUAGGACUAGCGUUGCGGGAACUAAUAAUAGGUGACCGUGAAAAAUAGAAACGCAAUAGAACCGCGUCGAUUGUGGCAAGAACGCAGUUGUCGCUAUAUAAUUGAACUAUUAUUUUGCAUGCGUUAUUAAAUCGACGAUAGUAGUGCGACGCCGAAUGAGCCUUUCGGACAAGCUCCGUUUUAACGAAUUCGCGAUGGGGUGUCAUUGUUUUUAUCCUGUCCUUAUCGUAUUACAUAAAACAGCGCAUUGUUAUCGUUGCUGCAUAAAAUUACAGAUCGGAUAUCGGCUCGAGUUACUCCAAUCUCGUUUAGCGUAAUUUCGGAUAAGCUUUAUCAUCGAGUGCCUGAAAUCGGCGGGCUUUAUUUUUGAUUCUUGCUAAUUCGGACGACACGGUGAAAGAUAGUGUCUGUAGGACGCUACGUGAUCAGAUAAAAUAAUUACAAUUUGGACAAAUAAAUUUUAUUCGAGGAGA